Molecule: ribosomal RNA, 458 nt
Filed under: uncultured bacterium
Lineage: Bacteria
Description: partial 16S ribosomal RNA
Rfam family: Bacterial small subunit ribosomal RNA
Source: RNAcentral
CCUACGGGUGGCAGCAGUGAGGAAUAUUGGUCAAUGGGCGAGAGCCUGAACCAGCCAAGUCGCGUGGGGGAGUACUGCCCUAUGGGUUGUAAACCUCUUUUGUCGGGGAGCAAAAGCCGGACGUGUCCGGCUGUGAGCGUACCCGACGAAACAGCAUCGGCUAACUCAGUGCCAGCAGCCGCGGUAAUACGGAGGAUGCGAGCGUUAUCCGGAUUGAUUGGGUUUAAAGUGUGCGCAGGCGGAGUUUUAAGUCAGCGGUAAAAUCGUGGGGCUCAACCCCAUCCAGCCGUUGAAACUGGGGAUCUAGAGUGUGCGAGAGGUAUGCGGAAUGCGUGGUGUAGCGGUGAAAUGCAUAGAUAUCACGCAGAACCCCGAUUGCGAAGGCAGCAUACCGGUGCACAACUGACGCUCAGGCACGAAAGCGUGGGUAUCGAACAGGAUUAGAUACCCCAGUAGUC